AAUGAACGCUGGCGGCGUGCCUAAUACAUGCAAGUCGAGCGAACAGACGAGGAGAUCUCUCUUCUGACGUUAGCGGCGGACGGGUGAGUAACACGUGGAUAACCUACCUAUUAGACUGGGGUAACUUCGGGAGAACGGAUCUAAUAACGGCUCAUAUAUUGAACCGGUUGGAUCAUUAGUGCUUGAGGGUUUUGCUGACACUAUUAGCUGGUUUCGCGUCGGAUUAGCUAGUUGGUAAGGUAACGGCUUACCAAGGCGACGAUGCGUAGCUGAACUGAGAGGAUGAUCAGCCACACUGGAACUGAGACACGGUCCAGACUCCUACGGGAGGCAGCAGUGGGGAAUAUUCCACAAUGGGCGAAAGCCUGACGCAGCCACGCCGCGUGAGUGAAGAAGGUCUUCGGAUCGUAAAACACUUUUAUUAGGGAAGAACAGAAGUAUGAGAAACUAUGGACGUCUUGACGGUACCUAAACAAAAAGCAACGGCUAACUUCGUG
Molecule: ribosomal RNA, 497 nt
Filed under: uncultured bacterium
Lineage: Bacteria
Description: partial 16S ribosomal RNA
Rfam family: Bacterial small subunit ribosomal RNA
Source: RNAcentral